UAAGGAAUAUUGCGCAAUGGGCGACAGCCUGACGCAGCGACGCCGCGUGGGGGAUGAAGGUCUUCGGAUUGUAAACCCCUUUCGGCAGGGAAGAUGGAACGGGUAACCGUUCGGACGGUACCUGCAGAAGCAGCCACGGCUAACUUCGUGCCAGCAGCCGCGGUAAUACGAAGGUGGCAAGCGUUGUUCGGAUUUACUGGGCGUACAGGGAGCGUAGGCGGUUGGGUAAGCCUUUCGUGAAAUCUCCGGGCCUAACCCGGAAAGUGCGGAGGGGACUGCUCGGCUAGAGGAUGGGAGAGGAGCGCGGAAUUCCCGGUGUAGCGGUGAAAUGCGUAGAGAUCGGGAGGAAGGCCGGUGGCGAAGGCGGCGCUCUGGAACAUAUCUGACGCUGAGGCUCGAAAGCGUGGGGAGCAAACGGGAUUAGAUACCCUUGUAGUCCCUGAGCGGGCUGGCAAGGCGCAU
RNAcentral lists this ribosomal RNA (462 nucleotides) under uncultured bacterium. RNAcentral's name for it is "bacterial SSU rRNA". It matches the Rfam family "Bacterial small subunit ribosomal RNA", at positions 355 to 825 of the family's 1533-position model. The record is from RNAcentral.